CCUACGGGAGGCAGCAGUGGGGAAUAUUGCACAAUGGGGGAAACCCUGAUGCAGCGACGCCGCGUGAGUGAAGAAGUAUCUCGGUACGUAAAGCUCUAUCAGCAGGGAAGAAAAUGACGGUACCUGACUAAGAAGCCCCGGCUAACUACGUGCCAGCAGCCGCGGUCAUACGUCGGGGGCAAGCGUUAUCCGGAUUUACUGGGGGUAAAGGGAGCGUAGACGGCAGCAUAAGUCUGGAGUGAAAUCCCGGGGCUUAACCCCGUGACGGCUUUGGAAACUGGGCAGCUGGAGUGCAGGAGGGGUAAGCGGAAUUCCUAGUGUAGCGGUGAAAUGCGUAGAUAUUAGGAAGAACACCGGUGGCGAAGGCGGCUUACUGGACUGUAACUGACGUUGAGGCUCGAAAGCGUGGGGAGCAAACAGGAUUAGAUACCCGAGUAGUC
RNAcentral lists this ribosomal RNA (440 nucleotides) under uncultured bacterium. RNAcentral's name for it is "partial 16S ribosomal RNA". It matches the Rfam family "Bacterial small subunit ribosomal RNA", at positions 338 to 795 of the family's 1533-position model. The record is from RNAcentral.